GACGAACGCUGGCGGCGUGCUUAACACAUGCAAGUCGAACGGACAGGCCCUGCUUUUGUGGGUUGCUCGAGUGGCGAACGGGUGAGUAACACGUGAGUAACCUGCCCUUGACUUUGGGAUAACUUCAGGAAACUGGGGCUAAUACCGGAUAGGAUCUCCUGCUGCAUGGUGGGGGUUGGAAAGUUUCGGCGGUUGGGGAUGGACUCGCGGCUUAUCAGCUUGUUGGUGGGGUAGUGGAUUACAAAGGCUGUGACGGGUAGCCGGCCUGAGAGGGUGACCGGCCACAUUGGGACUGAGAUACGGCCCAGACUCCUACGGGAGGCAGCAGUGGGGAAUAUUGCACAAUGGGCGGAAGCCUGAUGCAGCAACGCCGCGUGCGGGAUGACGGCCUUCGGGUUGUAAACCGCUUUCGCCUGUGACGAAGCGUGAGUGACGGUAAUGGGUAAAGAAGCACCGGCUAACUACGUG
RNAcentral lists this ribosomal RNA (468 nucleotides) under uncultured bacterium. RNAcentral's name for it is "partial 16S ribosomal RNA". It matches the Rfam family "Bacterial small subunit ribosomal RNA", at positions 28 to 507 of the family's 1533-position model. The record is from RNAcentral.